This 492-nucleotide ribosomal RNA is filed under the name uncultured bacterium. Its description in RNAcentral is "partial 16S ribosomal RNA". It matches the Rfam family "Bacterial small subunit ribosomal RNA", at positions 29 to 507 of the family's 1533-position model. The record is from RNAcentral.
AGUGAACGCUGGCGGUAGGCCUAGCACAUGCAAGUCGAACGGCAGCACAGUAAGAGCUUGCUCUUACGGGUGGCGAGUGGCGGACGGGUGAGGAAUACAUCGGAAUCUACUUUUUCGUGGGGGAUAACGUAGGGAAACUUACGCUAAUACCGCAUACGACCUACGGGUGAAAGCAGGGGAUCUUCGGACCUUGCGCGAUUGAAUGAGCCGAUGUCGGAUUAGCUAGUUGGCGGGGUAAAGGCCCACCAAGGCGACGAUCCGUAGCUGGUCUGAGAGGAUGAUCUGCCACACUGGAACUGAGACACGGUCCAGACUCCUACGGGAGGCAGCAGUGGGGAAUAUUGGUCAAUGGGCGCAAGCCUGAUCCAGCCAUACCGCGUGGGUGAAGAAGGCCUUCGGGUUGUAAAGCCCUUUUGUUGGGAAAGAAAAGCAGCAGGUUAAUACCCCGCUGUUCUGACGGUACCCAAAGAAUAAGCACCGGCUAACUUCGUG